UACAGAGGGUGCGAGCGUUAAUCGGAAUUACUGGGCGUAAAGCGUGCGUAGACGGCUAUCUAAGUCGGGUGUGAAAGCCCCGGGCUCAACCUGGGAAUUGCAUUCGAGACUGAAUAGCUAGGGUGCGGUAGAGGGAAGCGGAAUUUCCGGUGUAGCGGUGAAAUGCGUAGAUAUCGGAAGGAACAUCAGUGGCGAAAGCGGCUUCCUGGACCAGCACCGACGUUCAGGCACGAAAGCGUGGGGAGCAAACAGGA
Molecule: ribosomal RNA, 254 nt
Filed under: uncultured bacterium
Lineage: Bacteria
Description: partial 16S ribosomal RNA
Rfam family: Bacterial small subunit ribosomal RNA
Source: RNAcentral